AGUGAACGCUGGCGGUAGGCCUAACACAUGCAAGUCGAACGGCAGCACAGUAAGAGCUUGCUCUUACGGGUGGCGAGUGGCGGACGGGUGAGGAAUACAUCGGAAUCUACUUUUUCGUGGGGGAUAACGUAGGGAAACUUACGCUAUACCGCAUACGACCUACGGGUGAAAGCAGGGGAUCUUCGGACCUUGCGCGAUUGAAUGAGCCGAUGUCGGAUUAGCUAGUUGGCGGGGUAAAGGCCCACCAAGGCGACGAUCCGUAGCUGGUCUGAGAGGAUGACCAGCCACACUGGAACUGAGACACGGUCCAGACUCCUACGGGAGGCAGCAGUGGGGAAUAUUGGACAAUGGGCGCAAGCCUGAUCCAGCCAUACCGCGUGGGUGAAGAAGGCCUUCGGGUUGUAAAGCCCUUUUGUUGGGAAAGAAAAGCAGCAGGUUAAUACCCCGCUGUUCUGACGGUACCCAAAGAAUAAGCACCGGCUAACUUCGUG
This 491-nucleotide ribosomal RNA is filed under the name uncultured bacterium. Its description in RNAcentral is "partial 16S ribosomal RNA". It matches the Rfam family "Bacterial small subunit ribosomal RNA", at positions 29 to 507 of the family's 1533-position model. The record is from RNAcentral.